Molecule: long non-coding RNA, 1301 nt
Filed under: Monodelphis domestica (gray short-tailed opossum)
Lineage: Eukaryota; Metazoa; Chordata; Mammalia; Didelphimorphia; Didelphidae
Description: lncRNA (ENSMODG00000037762.1)
Source: RNAcentral
CCCCCCCCCCCCUUUCCUUUGCGCUGUUUAGUAGCUGGGGCUGCUGAUUACUUGGUUCCUUUUCGAAUUACCCCCUCCCCCCCCCCCCAAUUCUGGGAUCCGCCCCUACCCCUUUGACUUUAUUCAUCCAUUUCAAACAUUUCCCGGUUUGGGGGGGCUCCUUCCCUGUUUCACUGCGAUUCUGCCUCGGAGACUCGCGAGCUGUGCGACUCCAGUCAAGUCACUGGGCCUUUGCUGCUGACGGGGCCAGUAAAUAGUGCCUCCCUGCCAGAGGCCGGCUGGCGAGGAGCUUCCUUUGGGACCGCGUUUGACUCCCCUAGAGCAGGCCCGAGUCAGAGGCGACCUGGGACGGCGAGAAAAGCUCUCUGCUGCAAAGGAAUCUGGAACAGGGGGGGCGGGGAAGUUCGUUCCGCGAGUCACCCUGGGGGAGCCAGAGCCUCCCUCCCUCCCGGGGAAUAUGCGGGAGAGGGGAACACGCCUGCGCCGACGCGGACAGCCGAGGGGGGGCAGCCGAGGGCUGGAGGAGUCGGAGGAGGAUGGCGGCUCUGCAGCCGCUGCUGCUCACCUUGGCUUGGGCUGGACUUCUCCCAGCGGCGACCCAUGGCGCGGUCAUUGCCCAGCCCCAGACCCUGUCCUUCUCUUGGAACCUUGGGCAAAUGGCAAGGGCCCUGCAGUCGCACUGGCCACCACAUUCCCCCAAGGCAGCCCUGCUGGCCCAGGCCCUAGAGCGGCUCCUGGAGGCAGAGGCUGGGUGGCAGGAAUGGGAACGGGAGACCAAGGCUGAAGCUGCUGCCCUGGCCCGGCUCCUCUUGCGUCUGUGGAGCAGCUCCCAUCUGGAGCCUGAGGCCAACCUGGAGGAGGUGGUGGUACCUGGUCUCAAGGUCCAGGCCAAGGAUGAGGCAGCAGUUUCCAACCAGGAACUACUACUCAGGUACCAGGGGAGGGAAGGUGGUUGGGCAUGGGGAGAGCUUGAGCUGAUGGCACUGGAGACUUCUAAAUCUCUCCAUGCACAGAUUCCUGUUGGCCAAGAUGGCAGAGGCCAGAAACACUCCCACCUCCAUGUGGGGGGAAGCCUGGCCACUUCAGCGGCACCGUCUGCGCCGGGACCUGGGGCCAGCUCCUGGGUCAGUGGCUCAGGGGUAUACACUGCUCCGCCUGAACAAGGACAGGGCUCAUGUCCAGCGAGGGGCACCGCUUGCUCCCACCCGCUACUGGCCAGAGUGACAGGGACUCCGACCACUUUGGGGUCCUGGAUUCCUGUCUCUUCCUCCAUCGUGCAUGUUUGGCCCCAAGGCACCUAA